This 1548-nucleotide long non-coding RNA is filed under the name Sus scrofa (pig). Its description in RNAcentral is "lncRNA (ENSSSCG00055029055.1)". The record is from RNAcentral. Lineage: Eukaryota; Metazoa; Chordata; Mammalia; Artiodactyla; Suidae.
AUGGAGAAGGGAGAUGGAGAAAGGGAUGAGGGAGCACACCUGUGCCCACCCCCACCCGCCGGCCAGCCCGAGGGGAGGCCCCAGCCCCGAGCCCGAGAAGGAGGACAAAUGGUGGUUUUGUCCUUGGCCAGUGGGCGGCCUACGCCGCACAAUGACCCUUUCAUCAGGCUGAGGGAGCCCUGGGCUGGGAUUUCAUCUGACAAGGGCGGGCGCCGGCCUCCUGUCCCCUUGCUGGGGGAGUGGGGCGGGGGGGCCUAUCUGAGCCGGACCCAGGGCCACGCAAAAUGGAGGCCUCAGGGGAGCCAGCUGAAGCCCUCCAUCUGUCCCAAGAGGGCGCCUCCAACUGCUGCCUGUACCACCCGGAGGCCCCAAGACCCUAGGACUCCUCCUCCAUGCAUCAUGGGCCAUUACCCUGGGCUCUGGGGGACCUCAGGAAAGGGCCUGACGGACCCUGGCAUUCUGUCUGUCCACUGGUGCUGCGAGGCUCCCUGGAGAGGGACCCUGGGUGAAUAUGUUUGAGGGCAAGUAUUGUUCCUUGUUCUAGGCGUCUCAUGCUCCUAGGUGGUCUGGGCAACUCCUAUCCAUCCUUCAAAACCCUGCCUAGGAAACAGGUUUCCUCCUCCUCCUCCUCCUUCUCCUCCUUCUCCAGGAGCUGAGAGCAACCCCAUCUUCUGAGCACUUAGUGGACACAAGCACACAGGUAAGCACAUCUCUGCAUUCGUUGGUCGAAGUCUCACACGCCCUCUAGAAGGUUCAUGUUCCUAGGUGCCCAUUGUACAGAGGACACGGCUGAGGUCACGGGCUGCCCCCAGGCAGUAACAGAGAUGAGAACCCAGUAGCUGGGUCACUCUCAGGCCCCUUGGCCUCACAAGGACCGAAAACGGGCCCUUCUCCCACGGGCCUCCAUACAAACCCGCAGAGCCUUCAGCAGCCCCAGGAGGAAGCAUACGGGGACCCGCCUGGCCCUCCUGCCCCGCACAGGGGGUCCAAGGAGUCACGUCCAAGUGCGCCUCCCCCUUGAACUAGUGGUUGAUGAGCCUCGCUCACAGGCCAGUGAUGUCCCCAAGUUCUCUGUCAUUAGAGCGGCUCUAUUUGUACCUCUUGAGCGGGGCCUGGGGGGGCCUGGGGGCUAAGGUUUUGUCCGUUUCCCCUGCUCUGGUGGCCUCUCCACUCCACGGAGCCACACGCGCUUUAGAAGCCCAUGUGUGGGGGCCUGACCUGAGCCUGCAGUAGAAGAUUUCAUCCCCAAGAGACCAGAAGAGACUGCGGCCCAGAGAGGCCUACCGACCUGCUCGAGGCCACACAGCAGGGCUCUUCCCACACCUGGACAGACACAGUCUCUUAGGCUGGGAGCUGUUCCUCCCAGGGGCGACCUGUCCACGCCUGAGCUGGUGGCCCCGUUCCACCCCCACUUGGGCUGUGAUGCCAUAUGGGAGGGGGCCUGAUUCAGCACCCUCCCCUCCCCCCCAGGGUCAUGCCCACAGCGCUUCUGGGCCUGCGGUUGGCACCACCAAUAAAGCCACAGCGGCAGAGCCGGGAAGAGGCCCA